RNAcentral lists this ribosomal RNA (450 nucleotides) under uncultured bacterium. Its description in RNAcentral is "bacterial SSU rRNA". It matches the Rfam family "Bacterial small subunit ribosomal RNA", at positions 400 to 867 of the family's 1533-position model. RNAcentral also lists the same sequence under 1 other name. The record is from RNAcentral.
CGUGAGUGAAGAAGGCCUUAGGGUUGUAAAGCUCUUUCAGAUGCGAAGAUAAUGACGGUAACAUCAGAAGAAGCCCCGGCUAAAUUCGUGCCAGCAGCCGCGGUAAUACGAAUGGGGCGAGCGUUGUUCGGAAUCACUGGGCGUAAAGAGUAUGUAGGCGGGUUUGUCAGUCAGAAGUGAAAUCCCGGGGCUCAACCUCGGAAUUGCUUUUGAUACUGCAAACCUAGUGUCCCGGAGGGGUUGACGGAAUUCCUAGUGUAGAGGUGAAAUUCGCAGAUAUUAGGAGGAACACCAGUGGCGUAGGCGGUCAACUGGACGGGUACAGACGCUGAGAUACGAAAGCGUGGGGAGCAAACAGGAUUAGAUACCCUGGUAGUCCACGCCGUAAACGAUGUGUGCUAGUUGUCGGGAGUCUUAGACUUUCGGUGACGCAGCUAACGCAUUAAGCAC